Loxodonta africana (African savanna elephant) is the source of this 105-nucleotide small nuclear RNA. The record is from Ensembl. NCBI's taxonomy places the organism in Eukaryota, Metazoa, Chordata, Mammalia, Proboscidea, Elephantidae.
CAACUGGCUUGGUUUUUGGUACCACAAACUGAAAAGAGAAAAUGAAGCUCAACAUGGUCCUUGCACAAGAAGGACACACAAAUUCAUGAAGCAGUUUAUAUUUUU